CGGCUUUAGAGUUUGAUCAUGGCUCAGAUUGAACGCUGGCGGCAGGCCUAACACAUGCAAGUCGAGCGGUAGGGAAGCUUGCUUCCCACGAGCGGCGGACGGGUGAGUAAUGUAUGGGGAUCUGCCCGAUAGAGGGGGAUAACUACUGGAAACGGUAGCUAAUACCGCAUAAUCUCUCAGGAGCAAAGCAGUUCGUUGCGCUAUCGGAUGAACCCAUAUGGGAUUAGCUAGUUGGUGAGGUAAUGGCUCACCAAGGCGACGAUCCCCAGCUGGUCUGAGAGGAUGAUCAGCCACACUGGGACUGAGACACGGCCCAGACUCCUACGGGAGGCAGCAGUGGGGAAUAUUGCACAAUGGGCGCAAGCCUGAUGCAGCCAUGCCGCGU
RNAcentral lists this ribosomal RNA (385 nucleotides) under uncultured Providencia sp. RNAcentral describes it as "bacterial SSU rRNA". It matches the Rfam family "Bacterial small subunit ribosomal RNA", at positions 1 to 402 of the family's 1533-position model. Lineage: Bacteria; Pseudomonadati; Pseudomonadota; Gammaproteobacteria; Enterobacterales; Morganellaceae. The record is from RNAcentral.